RNAcentral lists this unclassified non-coding RNA (217 nucleotides) under Hevea brasiliensis (rubber tree). Lineage: Eukaryota; Viridiplantae; Streptophyta; Magnoliopsida; Malpighiales; Euphorbiaceae. The record is from RNAcentral.
UUAUUAAUUAUGCAGCCUAAGUUUAUUACCAUAAGUUUAAGAAAACUUGACGAGUAGCAUUAGCCUAAUCUAAAAUAUUCAUACUUUUACUUUAGUUUUUGCGUGCGUAACUAACAAAACUAUAAUUAAUUUAAUUAAUUAAAAGACUUGGCAUGCAGUCUUGAGUAGUUGAAACGUAAAGUCUUGGUAUACAGUCUAUAUGUGUGUGCCAGCGUAG